Non-coding RNA from Sus scrofa (pig), 423 nucleotides. NCBI's taxonomy places the organism in Eukaryota, Metazoa, Chordata, Mammalia, Artiodactyla, Suidae. The record is from RefSeq and is a predicted model, not a curated record.
CACGCUCCAAAAACCAGUUUCACUGGAAGUGUGUGCUGGUGUUCAUGUUCCUGCCCUGUAUAAUCAAUUAAGACAUGUCACGUUGCUAAACAAGACCACUGUGUGCACCUGCUGUCUGGAGCCAGAGCUGCGACAUGUAGCCGAGAAGCCCACCUCCCGUCUCCUGGGCCCUUGGCCCUUCGUGAUGCUGUGCUUUCUAGAAUGGCUGAACCAACUUUAUCAUAAACACUCAGCAUGACUUUCAAACAUCAAGCAUUUCCUCCUAUCAGAAUUGCUCCUGAUUGUUUUCAGUCUGGAAUUGAAGAGAUGUUUUUGGUGGAAAUUUGGGAGGAAGAAGUUACAACUUGAACACACAUAAAUCUCUCCUGAUCAGGCCAAUGAAUGUGUGUUAAAUCAAGACAAAAUUGGAAUCUUUUGGCUUUA